Molecule: ribosomal RNA, 433 nt
Filed under: uncultured bacterium
Lineage: Bacteria
Description: partial 16S ribosomal RNA
Rfam family: Bacterial small subunit ribosomal RNA
Source: RNAcentral
AACGAACGCUGGCGGCAUGCCUAACACAUGCAAGUCGAACGAGACCUCCGGGUGUAGUGGCGCACGGGUGCGUAACGCGUGGGAACCUGCCCGUAGGUUCGGGAUAACUCCUCGACGGGGGUGCUAAUACCGGGUAAUGUCUGCGGACCAAAGAUUUAUCGCCCUUGGGUGGGCCCGCGUUGGAUUGGCUAGUUGGUAUGGGAAAAGCCUACGAAGGCGACGAUCCAUAGCUGGGCUGAGAGGAUGAUCAGCCACUCUGGGACUGAGACACGGCCCAGACUCUUACGGGAGGCAGCAGUGGGGAAUAUUGGAAAAUGGGCGAAAGGCUGAUCCAGCUAUGCUGCGUGAGUGAUGAAGGCCUUAGGGUAGUAAAGCUCUUUUAUCCGGGAUGAUAAUGACAGUACCGGGAGAAUAAGCGCCGGCUAACUCCGUG